GUCCCCUGGUAAAGCUAAACCAGUGCUUGAGGAAGCUGACUCAGAAGGUAAAGUAAGUCUCUGUACAACACAGAUUAUAAAACUCCUCUUUGAUCCUGUCCAGGUGCUAAGCC
RNAcentral lists this small nucleolar RNA (113 nucleotides) under Chinchilla lanigera (long-tailed chinchilla). Its description in RNAcentral is "Small nucleolar RNA SNORA26 (ENSCLAG00000019802.1)". It matches the Rfam family "Small nucleolar RNA SNORA26". Rfam says of the family: The snoRNA HBI-6 belong to the H/ACA family of snoRNAs, guiding the pseudouridylation of position U4522 if the 28S rRNA. HBI-6 is the human orthologue of mouse MBI-6 snoRNA. Lineage: Eukaryota; Metazoa; Chordata; Mammalia; Rodentia; Chinchillidae. The record is from Rfam by way of RNAcentral.